This is a long non-coding RNA of Plodia interpunctella (Indianmeal moth), 2670 nucleotides long. RefSeq lists it as uncharacterized. The transcript has 2 exons. The record is from RefSeq and is a predicted model, not a curated record. Lineage: Eukaryota; Metazoa; Arthropoda; Insecta; Lepidoptera; Pyralidae.
GAAUUUGAGGACAUACAGUGAAGACCCCGGGGGACCGGCCCGCUGUCGGGCCCCCGGGUCAUUUUAUUAGUAAUCGAUAAAUUUAAAAAUUGAUAAAAUCGUAGUGAUCGUGAUUCGUUCUGAAACUAAUAAAUGAAGCAAGAGCUAUCUGCUGUAGAGGAAAUGGUGUGCUUUCACCUACGCGGUGUCUUUUUCUCUCUACGCUGUAAAAUUUAACUUAAGAAUAAAGAACAAUAUUUUGGAAUACAGCUAUCGUCCAAAAAUUUCCGACAUUGUAGCAGCCCAGGGCAAAAUUCAACUGAUGGAGACAUCAAUAAAAUUUGACCCAAUUUCAUCAACAUUAAUCUCGCAGAAUGGCAACUCAGGUGACCAACAGAAGUUACUUUCUAAACUCCCAAAGAUAGGAUUAAACUUAGGUCGUACGUAAAAGUAGUUUAGGAAUUUAGCACUUAGUUUCGUAUUUACUGUAUAUUUAAUAGGUAUUUUUUUCUUUGAAUAGGACUUAUAAUAGUUUUUAUAAGGUUCAUUUCAUUCAUUUACGCAGGAUAAGGACAUUUCAAUUUAAGAGCGUCUCGGUUCAAAACAAUUUAAUUUUUGGAUCAGGAGUGCCUUAAUGAUCGGUAUUGUUACUUACCGGUCAAGUUACCAAAUUAAGUUUGUUUUGCUGUUAAGUUUCUACUACGACAUAUGGUUAUUGUUAAUUGUUUUGUUAGAAUGGACAGACAGUUUUGUUGAUUACUGUUAAAAGACUGAGCAGUAAAAUAUGUUUCAACUAAGAUCAAACUUCAAAUUAAUUUUAAAAAAUAUAAAAAUAAUCAUACUUAUUGUUGAAAAUUUCUUUCUUGUUAGCUUUGCUCUAGUACUGUUAAGUUUUCCUAUCUUGUUAAAAAGCUAUCGUUACUUCUUUAAAAAAUCACCAAAAUGUUCAAUUAACUUUUUGUUGUUAUUGUUUUUAACUUCACCAGCUGGCCUGGUAUUAUUUUAAGUUUUUGUUUAAUAACCACCAAAGCAGUUGAUUUUUCGUUUAAUUAGUUUUUGUUCAUGGAUGCGAUUAAUCAAAAAUCAUUUCGAGUUUAUGUUUUCUUGUUUGAGGAAGACGAGAUUAAUGUACUCUCUCCGAAAUUGUUUCAAUGUUUAAGUGUUGAUUUUUAGUUUUGUUACUUAACCAGUUAUGUUUGUUAUUUCACGUCUCGUUGAUUUGAUUGUUAUAAAUCAGUUGAGUUUUUGUUUUACCUACUUUUGUACGAGACCUACUUUUGAUUGUAUUGAAUACUCAUUACAAUUAAAAGUAGGUCUCGUACAAAAUACUAAACCAUUAUGUUCAUUAACUGUCAACUUGUUUUUGUACUUACAACUGCUUUCGUUAAGUUUUGAUGUUACCCGGUUAGUUGAAUUAAUUGUUAGAAAUCAGUUGAGUUUUUGUUUUAUUCUUUCAAAAAACAGAUCUUAACUUCUAAACUCGGAAAUUCCAUUUUUGAACACAAAAUUGCAACAUGUUAUUUUACAGUUUAGCACAGAAAAACCUGAACCAUACCUGCCCAUUGUAGAUCAGACUUAUUUGCGCUCGACUACAAUACAAUUACUUUCGUCAAGUUUUACUAUUACCUGGUUAGUUGAUUUAGUUGUUAUUGGUUGAGUUUUUGUUUAAUUCAAUUAAAAUAGGCCUUGUACGCAAAAAAUAUGUAAAAUUUAAAAAAGACCACUAAAUUACAAAUGCUGCAAUAUUGUAUAUAAUUAUACUCUACAAUAUUUCUACUUCGAACACAUUUCGUAGCACACCAUAUGAAUCCAUAUUUACUUGAAACAAUCACAUUGUGCCUUAUAAACCUAAAGUGCCUGAUUUGGUUUCAUUCAAUUUCUUACCAGUAUCUCUUUGUUUUUAUGUUAUUUUUGGCCUUCUGAUAUGGUUUGUGUCUAUCAUUAACCUUAUCAGAACGCCCUUAAUUUUUUUAUGCAUCGUAACUCAACCUUUAUCGCUUUUUUGACAUUUGUCGAACAAGAAGUGUUCAAUUAUGUUCAAGCGAUAGGUAUCUUUUGAGAUAAAAAAGAAUUGAAAUAUUUUUAUGAGUUAUCAAUGCGUUAAAAACUUAAAAUGUGUGUACAGUCCGAUGAUUGUUUUCUCCCUAUCAACCUUCGUAAAGUAUAUUUUCACUUUCAUUGAUGUAAUAUUGAACUGAAAUAAAUAUAUUAUCAGUAUUUUUUGUAGAUUUCCAUAAUUUGCAGGAUAACUAUCUAAAUCAACAUCAUCAUAUUUUGGGGCAAAAUAAUCGUUGCACUUUGUUAAUAAUGUUGUGUAUUUGUUAUAUAUUGUUAUCGUGUUGUUAUACAUCAAGUUGUUUUUGUUUCUUGUUAAUUCGUUUUAAGCGUUGAUUUGUUGUUAAGUUUUGUGAUAUGUUCGUUAAUUAUUCAAAUGGCUGUGUUUGUUAAUUUUAUGUUAAGUUUUCAUUUUGACCAUCGUUCAUUGUUUUCCGACAUUAAGGCCAUUCUUUCAUUGUAAUUUAAUUGUAAUGUAUACAUAUUUAGAUUUAGGUUCGUUUACUUCUAUAGAUAAGUUGAAACUGAAGCUUUGUGUAAAAUUAACAAAUAAGGUAAGGAUUAUUUAUUAGGGACGUCUGUCAGUUGUGUAUAGGUAUGUGUAUGUGUGAAGAGUGAAUAAAGAAAACAAGAACA